GAUCCUGGCUCAGGAUGAACGCUAGCGACAGGCUUAACACAUGCAAGUCGAGGGGCAGCACAGGUAGCAAUACCGGGUGGCGACCGGCGCACGGGUGAGUAACGCGUAUGCAACUUGCCUAUCAGAGGGGGAUAACCCGGCGAAAGUCGGACUAAUACCGCAUGAAGCAGGGGCCCCGCAUGGGAGUAUUUGUCUAAAGUAAAUUCUAUCGCUGAUAGAGUAGGCGAUGCGUUCCU
This 236-nucleotide ribosomal RNA is filed under the name uncultured bacterium. Its description in RNAcentral is "partial 16S ribosomal RNA". It matches the Rfam family "Bacterial small subunit ribosomal RNA", at positions 15 to 240 of the family's 1533-position model. The record is from RNAcentral.